This 145-nucleotide microRNA precursor is filed under the name Prunus dulcis (almond). Its description in RNAcentral is "sRNA ncRNA". Lineage: Eukaryota; Viridiplantae; Streptophyta; Magnoliopsida; Rosales; Rosaceae. The record is from RNAcentral.
AUGAGAGUGGAGAUGGAAUUGGGAAGGGAGUAUGGGAGGGAGGAGUAACACAAGUGAAAACAAAAACCGAAAUCUAUUUGAAAUUGUUUUCACUUUUGUUACCCUUCCCUCCCAUCCUCUCCUUCCCUCCUCUUUCUCAUUCUCU